GCAGCAGCCACGGUAAUACGUAGGUGGCAAGCGUUGUCCGGAAUUAUUGGGCGUAAAGGGCUCGCAGGCGGUUUCUUAAGUCUGAUGUGAAAGCCCCCGGCUCAACCGGGGAGGGUCAUUGGAAACUGGGAAACUUGAGUGCAGAAGAGGAGAGUGGAAUUCCACGUGUAGCGGUGAAAUGCGUAGAGAUGUGGAGGAACACCAGUGGCGAAGGCGACUCUCUGGUCUGUAACUGACGCUGAGGAGCGAAAGCGUGGGGAGCGAACAGGAUUAGAUACCCCAGUAGUCCCUGUCUCUUAUAC
Molecule: ribosomal RNA, 302 nt
Filed under: uncultured bacterium
Lineage: Bacteria
Description: partial 16S ribosomal RNA
Rfam family: Bacterial small subunit ribosomal RNA
Source: RNAcentral